GACGAACGCUGGCGGCGUGCUUAACACAUGCAAGUCGAACGGAAAGGCCCUGCUUUUGUGGGGUGCUCGAGUGGCGAACGGGUGAGUAACACGUGAGUAACCUGCCCUUGACUUUGGGAUAACUUCAGGAAACUGGGGCUAAUACCGGAUAGGAGCUCCUGCUGCAUGGUGGGGGUUGGAAAGUUUCGGCGGUUGGGGAUGGACUCGCGGCUUAUCAGCUUGUUGGUGGGGUAGUGGCUUACCAAGGCUUUGACGGGUAGCCGGCCUGAGAGGGUGACCGGCCACAUUGGGACUGAGAUACGACCCAGACUCCUACUGGAGGCAGCAGUGAAGAAUAUUACACAAUGGGCGGAAGCCUGAUGCAGCAACGCCGCGUGCGGGAUGACGGCCUUCGGGUUGUAAACCGCUUUCGCCUGUGACGAAGCGUGAGUGACGGUAAUGGGUAAAGAGGCACCGGCUAACUACGUG
RNAcentral lists this ribosomal RNA (468 nucleotides) under uncultured bacterium. RNAcentral's name for it is "partial 16S ribosomal RNA". It matches the Rfam family "Bacterial small subunit ribosomal RNA", at positions 28 to 507 of the family's 1533-position model. The record is from RNAcentral.